UGGGGAAUAUUGCACAAUGGGCGAAAGCCUGAUGCAGCAACGCCGCGUGAGUGAUGAAGGCCUUCGGGUUGUAAAGCUCUGUCUUUUGGGACGAUAAUGACGGUACCAAAGGAGGAAGCCACGGCUAACUACGUGCCAGCAGCCGCGGUAAUACGUAGGUGGCAAGCGUUGUCCGGAUUUACUGGGCGUAAAGGAUGCGUAGGCGGAUUUUUAAGUGAGAUGUGAAAACCCUAAAGCUUAAACUUGGGGACUGCAUUUCAUACUGGAAAAUCUAGAGUGCGGGAGAGGAGAAAUGGAAUUCCUAGUGUAGCGGUGAAAUGCGUAGAGAUUAGGAAGAAACACCAGUGGCGAAGGCGAUUCUCUGGACCGUAACUGACGCUGAGGCAUGAAAAGCGUGGGUAGCAAACAGGAUUAGAUACCCUGGUAGUCCACGCCGUAAACGAUGAGUACUAGGUGUAGGAGGUAUCGACCCCUUCUGUGCCGCAGUUAACACAAUAAGUACUCCGCCUGGGAAGUACGAUCGCAAGAUUAAAAACUCAAAGGAAUUGACGGGGUCAUAGCUG
This 563-nucleotide ribosomal RNA is filed under the name uncultured bacterium. RNAcentral describes it as "partial 16S ribosomal RNA". It matches the Rfam family "Bacterial small subunit ribosomal RNA", at positions 355 to 932 of the family's 1533-position model. The record is from RNAcentral.